RNAcentral lists this ribosomal RNA (498 nucleotides) under uncultured bacterium. RNAcentral's name for it is "partial 16S ribosomal RNA". It matches the Rfam family "Bacterial small subunit ribosomal RNA", at positions 30 to 523 of the family's 1533-position model. The record is from RNAcentral.
AUUGAACGCUGGCGGCAUGCCUUACACAUGCAAGUCGAACGGUAACAGGUUUUCGGAUGCUGACGAGUGGCGAACGGGUGAGUAAUACAUCGGAACGUGCCUAGUAGUGGGGGAUAACUACUCGAAAGAGUGGCUAAUACCGCAUGAGAUCUACGGAUGAAAGCAGGGGAUCGCCAGAUCUUGUGCUACUAGUGCGGGCGUUGGGAGAUUAGGUAGUUGGUGGGAUAAAAGCUUACCAAGCCGACGAUCUGUAGCUGGUCUGAGAUGACGAUCAGCCACACUGGGACUGAGACACGGCCCAGACUCCUACGGGAGGCAGCAGUGGGGAAUUUUGGACAAUGGGCGCAAGCCUGAUCCAGCAAUGCCUCGUGCAGGAUGAAGGCCUUCGGGUUGUAAACUGCUUUUGUACGGAACGAAAAGCCCCGGGUUAAUACCCUGGGGUCGUGACGGUACCGUAAGAAUAAGCACCGGCUAACUACGUGCCAGCCGCCGCCGUAA